Molecule: ribosomal RNA, 464 nt
Filed under: uncultured bacterium
Lineage: Bacteria
Description: partial 16S ribosomal RNA
Rfam family: Bacterial small subunit ribosomal RNA
Source: RNAcentral
GACGAACGCUGGCGGCGUGCUUAACACAUGCAAGUCGAACGGAAAGGCCCAGCUUGCUGGGUGCUCGAGUGGCGAACGGGUGAGUAACACGUGGGUGAUCUGCCUCUAACUUCGGGAUAAGCUUGGGAAACUGGGUCUAAUACCGGAUAGGACAAUCGUUUAGUGUCGGUUGUGGAAAGUUUUUUCGGUUAGGGAUGGGCCCGCGGCCUAUCAGCUUGUUGGUGGGGUAAUGGCCUACCAAGGCGUCGACGGGUAGCCGGCCUGAGAGGGUGGACGGCCACAUUGGGACUGAGAUACGGCCCAGACUCCUACGGGAGGCAGCAGUGGGGAAUAUUGCACAAUGGGCGCAAGCCUGAUGCAGCGACGCCGCGUGGGGGAUGACGGCCUUCGGGUUGUAAACCUCUUUCGACAGGGACGAAGCUUUGGUGACGGUACCUGUAUAAGAAGCACCGGCUAACUACGUG